AAUGAACGCUGGCGGCAUGCCUAACACAUGCAAGUCGAACGAAGGCUUCGGCCUUAGUGGCGCACGGGUGCGUAACGCGUGGGAAUCUGCCCUCAGGUUCGGAAUAACAGCGAGAACUUGCUGCUAAUACCGGAUGAUAUCGCGAGAUCAAAGAUUUAUCGCCUGAGGAUGAGCCCGCGUAGGAUUAGCUAGUUGGCGUGGUAAAGGCGCACCACGGCGACGAUCCUUAGCUGUCUGAGAGGAUGAUCAGCCACACUGGGACUGAGACACGGCCCAGACUCCUACGGGAGGCAGCAGUGGGGAAUAUUGGACAAUGGGCGAAAGCCUGAUCCAGCAAUGCCGCGUGAGUGAUGAAGGCCUUAGGGUUGUAAAGCUCUUUUACCCGGGAUGAUAAUGACAGUACCGGGAGAAUAAGCUCCGGCUAACUCCGCGCCAGCCGCCGCCGUAA
Molecule: ribosomal RNA, 448 nt
Filed under: uncultured bacterium
Lineage: Bacteria
Description: partial 16S ribosomal RNA
Rfam family: Bacterial small subunit ribosomal RNA
Source: RNAcentral